UUUUUGUUUACAGGAUGCCAUUUUUAGAAAGUAAGUUCCUUAUGGGCAGGAACAUGUUUUGUUAACUGAAGGGCUCCAAGCACCCAGAUUUGUACCUGGCACAGAGCAAUCACUUAUUCCACCUAAAGAAGAGUCAGUUACCUGCUUCUGACCAGGAAAUGAAACAAGACUUAAGAAGCCCGCUUGCCUUAAACAAGUUCCUACCCCUGAGACUAAAAGCUGCAGCAAGGAUGGCCUCCCCUCUGGUCGAGGCAGGCUAAAGCUACUGCUGGUAUCUGAUUCCUCAUGUUCUCCAUGGAGCCUCGGCUGUUUCAGAUUUCAUCUACUUCUUUUGUUGCCCUGACAGAACCUAACAAAAGCUCCAGACCCAUAGGAGGCCCAUAAAAUAAUGCUUGUUCAAUUGAAUUAUAACGUCAUUGAAGGCUGUA
Long non-coding RNA from Camelus dromedarius (Arabian camel), 428 nucleotides. RefSeq lists it as uncharacterized. The transcript has 3 exons. NCBI's taxonomy places the organism in Eukaryota, Metazoa, Chordata, Mammalia, Artiodactyla, Camelidae. The record is from RefSeq and is a predicted model, not a curated record.